GGCGUGCUAAUACUGCAAGUCGAGCGAACAGAAGGGAGCUUGCUCCCGGAUGUUAGCGGCGGACGGGUGAGUAACACGUGGGUAACCUGCCUGUAAGACUGGGAUAACUCCGGGAAACCGGAGCUAAUACCGGAUAGUUCCUUGAACCGCAUGGUUCAAGGAUGAAAGACGGUUUCGGCUGUCACUUACAGAUGGACCCGCGGCGCAUUAGCUAGUUGGUGGGGUAAUGGCUCACCAAGGCGACGAUGCGUAGCCGACCUGAGAGGGUGAUCGGCCACACUGGGACUGAGACACGGCCCAGACUCCUACGGGAGGCAGCAGUAGGGAAUCUUCCGCAAUGGACGAAAGUCUGACGGAGCAACGCCGCGUGAGUGAUGAAGGUUUUCGGAUCGUAAAGCUCUGUUGUUAGGGAAGAACAAGUGCGAGAGUAACUGCUCGCACCUUGACGGUACCUAACCAGAAAGCCACGGCUAACUACGUGCCAGCAGCCGCGGUAAUACGUAGGUGGCAAGCGUUGUCCGGAAUUAUUGGGCGUAAAGGGCUCGCAGGCGGUUUCUUAAGUCUGAUGUGAAAGCCCCCGGCUCAACCGGGGAGGGUCAUUGGAAACUGGGAAACUUGAGUGCAGAAGAGGAGAGUGGAAUUCCACGUGUAGCGGUGAAAUGCGUAGAGAUGUGGAGGAACACCAGUGGCGAAGGCGACUCUCUGGUCUGUAACUGACGCUGAGGAGCGAAAGCGUGGGGAGCGAACAGGAUUAGAUACCCUGGUAGUCCACGCCGUAAACGAUGAGUGCUAAGUGUUAGGGGGUUUCCGCCCCUUAGUGCUGCAGCUAACGCAUUAAGCACUCCGCCUGGGGAGUACGGUCGCAAGACUGAAACUCAAAGGAAUUGACGGGGGCCCGCACAAGCGGUGGAGCAUGUGGUUUAAUUCGAAGCAACGCGAAGAACCUUACCAGGUCUUGACAUCCUCUGACAACCCUAGAGAUAGGGCUUUCCCUUCGGGGACAGAGUGACAGGUGGUGCAUGGUUGUCCUCAGCUCGGGCCG
This 1042-nucleotide ribosomal RNA is filed under the name Bacillus pumilus. RNAcentral's name for it is "bacterial SSU rRNA". It matches the Rfam family "Bacterial small subunit ribosomal RNA", at positions 41 to 1067 of the family's 1533-position model. Lineage: Bacteria; Bacillati; Bacillota; Bacilli; Caryophanales; Bacillaceae. The record is from RNAcentral.